RNAcentral lists this ribosomal RNA (421 nucleotides) under uncultured eukaryote. RNAcentral describes it as "SSU rRNA". It matches the Rfam family "Eukaryotic small subunit ribosomal RNA", at positions 592 to 1018 of the family's 1831-position model. The record is from RNAcentral.
CAAUAGCGUAUAUUAAAGUUGUUGCGGUUAAAAAGCUCGUAGUUGGAUUUCUGCCGAGGACGACCGGUCCGCCCUCUGGGUGAGCAUCUGGCUCGGCCUGGGCAUCUUCUUGGAGAACGUAUCUGCACUUGACUGUGUGGUGCGGUAUUCAGGACUUUUACUUUGAGGAAAUUAGAGUGUUUCAAGCAGGCAUACGCCUUGAAUACAUUAGCAUGGAAUAAUAAGAUAGGACCUCGGUUCUAUUUUGUUGGUUUGCGCACAGAGGUAAUGAUGAACAGGGACAGUUGGGGGUAUUUGUAUUUCGUUGUCAGAGGUGAAAUUCUUGGAUUUAUGAAAGACGAACUUCUGCGAAAGCAUUUGCCAAGGAUGUUUUCAUUAAUCAAGAACGAAAGUUGGGGGCUCGAAGAUGAUUAGAUACCGU